GAUGAACGCUGGCGGCGUGCCUAAUACAUGCCAGUCGAGCGAACAGACGAGGAGCUUGCUCCUUCGACGUUAGCGGCGGACGGGUGAGUAACACGUAGGUAACCUACCUAUAAGACUGGGAUAACUUCGGGAAACCGGAGCUAAUACCGGAUAAUAUUUCGAACCGCAUGGUUCGAUAGUGAAAGAUGGCUUUGCUAUCACUUAUAGAUGGACCUGCGCCGUAUUAGCUAGUUGGUAAGGUAACGGCUUACCAAGGCAACGAUACGUAGCCGACCUGAGAGGGUGAUCGGCCACACUGGAACUGAGACACGGUCCAGACUCCUACGGGAGGCAGCAGUAGGGAAUCUUCCGCAAUGGGCGAAAGCCUGACGGAGCAACGCCGCGAGAGUGAUGAAGGUCUUCGGAUCGUAAAACUCUGUUAUUAGGGAAGAACAAACGUGUAAGUAACUGUGCACGUCUUGACGGUACCUAAUCAGAAAGCCACGGCUAACUACGUG
This 497-nucleotide ribosomal RNA is filed under the name uncultured bacterium. RNAcentral describes it as "partial 16S ribosomal RNA". It matches the Rfam family "Bacterial small subunit ribosomal RNA", at positions 28 to 507 of the family's 1533-position model. The record is from RNAcentral.